GAUAAACGCUGGCGGCGUGCCUAACACAUGCAAGUCGAACGCCCUUUUGCGCAAGUGAGAGGGAGUGGCGGACGGGUGAGUACCACGUGGGUACCUACCUUGAGGUGAGGAAUACCACCGAGAAAUCGGUGACAAGACCGCAUACGCUUGGCAACAAGCAAAGUCUCGCAAGAGACGCCACAAGAUGGGCCUGCGCCUGAUUAGCUAGUUGGUGAGGUAAUGGCNCACCAAGGCGACGAUCAGUAGCUGGUCUGAGAGGAUGAUCAGCCACACUGGGAUUGAGAACGGCCCAGACUCCGUACGGGGG
This 307-nucleotide ribosomal RNA is filed under the name uncultured bacterium. RNAcentral describes it as "bacterial SSU rRNA". It matches the Rfam family "Bacterial small subunit ribosomal RNA", at positions 28 to 347 of the family's 1533-position model. The record is from RNAcentral.